AUUGAACGCUGGCGGCAUGCCUUACACAUGCAAGUCGAACGGUAACAGGUCUUCGGAUGCUGACGAGUGGCGAACGGGUGAGUAAUACAUCGGAACGUGCCUAGUAGUGGGGGAUAACUACUCGAAAGAGUGGCUAAUACCGCAUGAGAUCUACGGAUGAAAGCAGGGGAUCGCAAGACCUUGUGCUACUAGAGCGGCCGAUGGCAGAAUAGGUAGUUGGUGGGAUAAAAGCUUACCAAGCCGACGAUCUGUAGCUGGUCUGAGAGGACGAUCAGCCACACUGGGACUGAGACACGGCCCAGACUCCUACGGGAGGCAGCAGUGGGGAAUGUUGGACAAUGGGCGCAAGCCUGAUCCAGCAAUGCCGCGUGCAGGAUGAAGGCCUUCGGGUUGUAAACUGCUUUUGUACGGAACGAAAAGCCCCGGGUUAAUACCCUGGGGUCAUGACGGUACCGUAAGAAUAAGCACCGGCUAACUACGUGCCAGCAGCCGCAGUAA
This 498-nucleotide ribosomal RNA is filed under the name uncultured bacterium. RNAcentral's name for it is "partial 16S ribosomal RNA". It matches the Rfam family "Bacterial small subunit ribosomal RNA", at positions 30 to 523 of the family's 1533-position model. The record is from RNAcentral.